GGAUUAGUGGCGAACGGGUGAGUAACACGUGAGUAACCUGCCCUUGACUCUGGGAUAAGCCUGGGAAACUGGGUCUAAUACCGGAUAGGAACGUCCACCGCAUGGUGGGUGUUGGAAAGAUUUAUCGGUCAUGGAUGGACUCGCGGCCUAUCAGCUUGUUGGUGAGGUAAUGGCUCACCAAGGCGACGACGGGUAGCCGGCCUGAGAGGGUGACCGGCCACACUGGGACUGAGACACGGCCCAGACUCCUACGGGAGGCAGCAGUGGGGAAUAUUGCACAAUGGGCGAAAGCCUGAUGCAGCGACGCCGCGUGAGGGAUGACGGCCUUCGGGUUGUAAACCUCUUUCAGUAGGGAAGAAGCGAAAGUGACGGUACCUGCAGAAGAAGCACCGGCUAACUACGUGCCAGCAGCCGCGGUAAUACGUAGGGUGCGAGCGUUAUCCGGAAUUAUUGGGCGUAAAGAGCUCGUAGGCGGUUUGUCGCGUCUGUCGUGAAAGUCCGGGGCUUAACCCCGGAUCUGCGGUGGGUACGGGCAGACUAGAGUGCAGUAGGGGAGACUGGAAUUCCUGGUGUAGCGGUGGAAUGCGCAGAUAUCAGGAGG
RNAcentral lists this ribosomal RNA (601 nucleotides) under Micrococcus endophyticus. Its description in RNAcentral is "bacterial SSU rRNA". It matches the Rfam family "Bacterial small subunit ribosomal RNA", at positions 89 to 704 of the family's 1533-position model. Lineage: Bacteria; Bacillati; Actinomycetota; Actinomycetes; Micrococcales; Micrococcaceae. The record is from RNAcentral.